Molecule: long non-coding RNA, 379 nt
Filed under: Homo sapiens (human)
Lineage: Eukaryota; Metazoa; Chordata; Mammalia; Primates; Hominidae
Description: non-protein coding lnc-F8A2-3:1
Source: RNAcentral
UCACCAUCUAAAUGCAGAAGCAAGAUCAAGAACACGGAAUAACCACAGAGGUGCCUCUACUGAAGAGCAAAUGGUAGGAAAAUUGAGUAUAGUAUGUAUCAUCUUUGGUUCAAAAGCAUCUUAUUCCGUGUGAAGAAGUUAUUCUUCCAUCAUUCCUCCUCUCCAACUUCUUGUAAAUCAGAUUCAAAUUCUUCUUAAUGCCAUACUCAAAGCAGCUGUGUUUGCAUGACGACCCUUUUGCAAUAUGUUAAUAACUAAAUGCAAGAAAUCUGUACAAAUUCCAAAACUAAUGGUUAGGCAAUACUUUUUUGGGGGAUAAUUUAUAAUUACUUUGAAAAAUGUAAAAUUACAUUUUAAUAAUUAACAAAAUUAGGACUCC